CCUACGGGACGCAGCAGUAGGGAAUCUUCGGCAAUGGGCGAAAGCCUGACCGAGCAACGCCGCGUGAAUGAAGAAGGCCUUCGGGUUGUAGAAUUCUGUUAUAAGGGAAGAAAGGUGAUAGGAGGAAAUGACUAUCAAUUGACGGUACCUUAUGAGAAAGCCACGGCUAACUACGUGCCAGCAGCCGCGGUAAUACGUAGGUGGCAAGCGUUAUCCGGAAUCACUGGGCGUAAAGGGCGCGUAGGCGGUUUAAUAAGUCAG
Molecule: ribosomal RNA, 261 nt
Filed under: uncultured bacterium
Lineage: Bacteria
Description: partial 16S ribosomal RNA
Rfam family: Bacterial small subunit ribosomal RNA
Source: RNAcentral